Molecule: ribosomal RNA, 1453 nt
Filed under: uncultured organism
Description: SSU rRNA
Rfam family: Bacterial small subunit ribosomal RNA
Source: RNAcentral
AACGCUGGCGGCAGGCCUAACACAUGCAAGUCGAACGGUAACAGGAAACAGCUUGCUGUUUCGCUGACGAGUGGCGGACGGGUGAGUAAUGUCUGGGAAACUGCCUGAUGGAGGGGGAUAACUACUGGAAACGGUAGCUAAUACCGCAUAACGUCGCAAGACCAAAGAGGGGGACCUUCGGGCCUCUUGCCAUCGGAUGUGCCCAGAUGGGAUUAGCUAGUAGGUGGGGUAACGGCUCACCUAGGCGACGAUCCCUAGCUGGUCUGAGAGGAUGACCAGCCACACUGGAACUGAGACACGGUCCAGACUCCUACGGGAGGCAGCAGUGGGGAAUAUUGCACAAUGGGCGCAAGCCUGAUGCAGCCAUGCCGCGUGUAUGAAGAAGGCCUUCGGGUUGUAAAGUACUUUCAGCGGGGAGGAAGGGAGUAAAGUUAAUACCUUUGCUCAUUGACGUUACCCGCAGAAGAAGCACCGGCUAACUCCGUGCCAGCAGCCGCGGUAAUACGGAGGGUGCAAGCGUUAAUCGGAAUUACUGGGCGUAAAGCGCACGCAGGCGGUUUGUUAAGUCAGAUGUGAAAUCCCCGGGCUCAACCUGGGAACUGCAUCUGAUACUGGCAAGCUUGAGUCUCGUAGAGGGGGGUAGAAUUCCAGGUGUAGCGGUGAAAUGCGUAGAGAUCUGGAGGAAUACCGGUGGCGAAGGCGGCCCCCUGGACGAAGACUGACGCUCAGGUGCGAAAGCGUGGGAAGCAAACAGGAUUAGAUACCCUGGUAGUCCACGCCGUAAACGAUGUCGACUUGGAGGUUGUGCCCUUGAGGCGUGGCUUCCGGAGCUAACGCGUUAAGUCGACCGCCUGGGGAGUACGGCCGCAAGGUUAAAACUCAAAUGAAUUGACGGGGGCCCGCACAAGCGGUGGAGCAUGUGGUUUAAUUCGAUGCAACGCGAAGAACCUUACCUGGUCUUGACAUCCACGGAAGUUUUCAGAGAUGAGAAUGUGCCUUCGGGAACCGUGAGACAGGUGCUGCAUGGCUGUCGUCAGCUCGUGUUGUGAAAUGUUGGGUUAAGUCCCGCAACGAGCGCAACCCUUAUCCUUUGUUGCCAGCGGUCCGGCCGGGAACUCAAAGGAGACUGCCAGUGAUAAACUGGAGGAAGGUGGGGAUGACGUCAAGUCAUCAUGGCCCUUACGACCAGGGCUACACACGUGCUACAAUGGCGCAUACAAAGAGAAGCGACCUCGCGAGAGCAAGCGGACCUCAUAAAGUGCGUCGUAGUCCGGAUUGGAGUCUGCAACUCGACUCCAUGAAGUCGGAAUCGCUAGUAAUCGUGGAUCAGAAUGCCACGGUGAAUACGUUCCCGGGCCUUGUACACACCGCCCGUCACACCAUGGGAGUGGGUUGCAAAAGAAGUAGAUAGCUUAACCUUCGGGAGGGCGCUUACCACUUUGUGAUUCAUAAA